UUAAAAGGGGAAUAUUGCACAAUGGGCGAAAGCCUGAUGCAGCAACGCCGCGUGGGUGAUGAAGGUUUUCGGAUCGUAAAGCCCUGUCUUUUGGGACGAUAAUGACGGUACCAAAGGAGGAAGCCACGGCUAACUACGUGCCAGCAGCCGCGGUAAUACGUAGGUG
RNAcentral lists this ribosomal RNA (166 nucleotides) under uncultured Clostridium sp. Its description in RNAcentral is "partial 16S ribosomal RNA". It matches the Rfam family "Bacterial small subunit ribosomal RNA", at positions 350 to 533 of the family's 1533-position model. The record is from RNAcentral. Lineage: Bacteria; Bacillati; Bacillota; Clostridia; Eubacteriales; Clostridiaceae.